This 433-nucleotide ribosomal RNA is filed under the name uncultured bacterium. RNAcentral describes it as "partial 16S ribosomal RNA". It matches the Rfam family "Bacterial small subunit ribosomal RNA", at positions 29 to 507 of the family's 1533-position model. The record is from RNAcentral.
AGCGAACGCUGGCGGCAGGCUUAACACAUGCAAGUCGAGCGGGCCCUUCGGGGUCAGCGGCGGACGGGUGAGUAACGCGUGGGAACGUGCCUUCUGGUUCGGAAUAACUCAGGGAAACUUGAGCUAAUACCGGAUACGCCCUUUUGGGGAAAGGUUUACUGCCGGAAGAUCGGCCCGCGUCUGAUUAGCUAGUUGGUGGGGUAACGGCCUACCAAGGCGACGAUCAGUAGCUGGUCUGAGAGGAUGAUCAGCCACACUGGGACUGAGACACGGCCCAGAAUCCUACGGGAGGCAGCAGUGGGGAAUAUUGGACAAUGGGCGCAAGCCUGAUCCAGCCAUGCCGCGUGAGUGAUGAAGGCCUUAGGGUUGUAAAGCUCUUUUAUCCGGGACGAUAAUGACGGUACCGGAGGAAUAAGCCCCGGCUAACUUCGUG